GGUUGUCGAGUAAGUUGUUCCCAUCGUUUACUGUGAAAAAAUUAGAGUGUUCAAAGCAGGCUUAUGCCAUUGAAUAUAUUAGCAUGGAAUAAUAAGAUAGGACCUUGGUACUAUUUUGUUGGUUUGCGCACCAGGGUAAUGAUUAAUAGGGACAGUUGGGGGUAUUCGUAUUCAA
Molecule: ribosomal RNA, 175 nt
Filed under: Noctiluca scintillans
Lineage: Eukaryota; Dinophyceae; Noctilucales; Noctilucaceae
Description: partial Eukaryotic small subunit ribosomal RNA
Rfam family: Eukaryotic small subunit ribosomal RNA
Source: RNAcentral